CCUACGGGUGGCAGCAGUGAGGAAUAUUGGUCAAUGGACGCAAGUCUGAACCAGCCAUGCCGCGUGCAGGAAGACGGCUCUAUGAGUUGUAAACUGCUUUAGUACGAGGGUAAACGCAGAUACGCGUAUCUGUCUGAAAGUAUCGUACGAAUCAGGAUAGGCUAACACCGUGCCAGCAGCCGCGGUAAUACGGAGGAUUCAAGCGUUAUCCGGAUUUAGUGGGGUUAAAGGGUGCGUAGGCGGUCGGAUAAGUUAGAGGUGAAAGCCCGUGGCUCAACUUCGGAAUUGCCUCUGAUACUGUUCGGCUAGAGAGUAGUAGCGGUAGGCGGAAUGUAUGGUGUAGCGGUGAAAUGCGUAGAGAUCAGACAGAACACCGAUUGCGAAGGCAGCUUACCAAGCUACUUCUGACGUUGAGGCACGAAAGCGUGGGGAGCAAACAGGAUUAGAUACCCGGGUAGUC
Molecule: ribosomal RNA, 460 nt
Filed under: uncultured bacterium
Lineage: Bacteria
Description: partial 16S ribosomal RNA
Rfam family: Bacterial small subunit ribosomal RNA
Source: RNAcentral